This 7469-nucleotide long non-coding RNA is filed under the name Equus caballus (horse). RNAcentral describes it as "lncRNA (ENSECAG00000055055.1)". Lineage: Eukaryota; Metazoa; Chordata; Mammalia; Perissodactyla; Equidae. The record is from RNAcentral.
AUUCAUUCCAGGGCCGUGUGCAAGAAGAGCUCUUCGAGAGUUUCCUCAGAGCAGAUCGGCGUUGGGUAUCUCGUGGCUGCCCCACCCAUCCCCUCCCUCUGAUGUUUCAUGAGGGGCUGGCUUCUGGGGCCCACAGGCUUCCAUGCUCGCUGUCCCCUGACCUGGGCACUUGCGACCGCAUGUCAGCGCUAUCUACAGACCUACCUGUCUCCUCACUAGACUGUGGGCAGAUCGAGUGCAGGACCCUCAUGUGAUGUGGCCCGAAAUCCCCACACCUGGCCUGGCAGCGGACAGCAGGAGGGUCUCAGAAAGCCUCUGUGGUGGGAAUGUGUGAGCAUUGAUGGAGACGGCUGCACAAGGAGCGCUGGCGCAGGAACUGGGGGUGCGGGUUCUGGUGGCUUCUUGGUCACUGGCUGUCAGCGUGACCUUGAGUAAAGCAGCAUGCCUCUCUGGACCGCCGUUCUCCCAGCUGUGAAUAGGGGAUUGGAUGGCAGGUCAGUUCCCCUGCCUUUCUGACAGUACACAUACGAGUCAGGGGUCUCCACUGAGCCCCUGAAGCAGAACCAGUGGGAGAGGGCAAGAUUUUAGAUAGAAAACUAGAGAAAUAAACAGUUCGUUAUUACAGGGGAUUGGCCAGUUGGAGGGCUGGCUGGAUGCCUCCACGUCUGAUGUUGGAGCUUGAAGUCCCCAGGGUAGCAGUCCGAAAAGGGAGGCUGGUGAGCAGGCUGGGACUCCAAAAGCAGGUGCUGGAACUCUGUAAGGAUGGAUGGAAACCCGUGUCUGCUCCCGUUGCCUCCGACCUUGGUGACAGGGAAUCCCGCCGGGCCCCGGGCUCUUCAUCUAACACCGACUUCUGUGCCUGUGCUGCUUCACAUGGGUCGGCAGAGGAGUGCUCUGUGUGUUGACCAAGCGCGUGCUACAGAAUGCCCGCUGCCUCCCUUCCUCCUGCCCACUCGCUCCUGAGAACCUGCCUUGUAUAGUCCUAAUCAGAAACAGGCCAGAAAAGGAAUUCGGGAGAAUGGAGUUCCACCUCGCCAAGGCGAUACGAAGCUAUCACAGUAGAGUUUUGGUUCAUUUCUUCUGCAAAAAAUUCAUUUGAAGAAAGUCCGGAAGAAAAUCAUCCUGAAAUUUUCUUAGCAAACUGAGAGUCUCUCCAAAUAAAUGGCUGGUCUUCCACUGUGUAGCCCCAAGGUCAUUCAUUCAGAGUCAGACACAGCUAUAAAUUGUCAGCUCCUCCAGGACGGCCUUGGGUCUCCGCCUCCUCCUGGCGCUUCCUCGCACACAGAGCACACAGGGUGUGGUGCACGGCGGGCGGGUGAAGAGCACUGGGGCGGCCUCGUUUCCUCACCAGGGCUGGUGUCUGUUGGGUGCUCAUCGGCGGCCUCUGCUCCUUUCGUGCCCACACCAACACGUGGAGAGAGACACCAGCGUUGUCCCCAUUCACAGAUGGGACACAGAGGCACAAAGAGUUUAAGUCACUUGUCCGAGGUCAUAUAGCCAAUAACCAGUAGAACCAAUGUGAACCUGGGCUGUCUGCCCGCAGGGCCUCAGGCUUCGCCACGACUCACGCAGCCUCCGAGCUCAGCAUGUGCGGCUGGUCAUAUUACCAGACUCGCCUUAAAGUGGACUGAGAGACGGCGGGCAGCAGUGGGGGCCCAGGCUCACUCUCAUGGUUGGUCCCGGAAGACAAAAAACUGGCACUGCCGGCAAAGGUUCAGAAAUGCUCACAUUUCCAUCUCAGCCUGCUGUGUGUUGGAGAUUACUGACUGCCUCCCAAUGUGCUUUAUCUACUUCCUCAGCAAUUGAACUUCCAGUUUUCAGUUGGGCACAUGAUAGCCCCAAAAAAAGACUACUUCCCAGCUCCUUUGCAGAUGGACAAAGGUGAGGCCAUGUGGCUUCACUGUGGCUAGAGGCAUAUGCAUGGAAGUGUGCAAAUUCCGAUGUAUUCCUACAGGCAAGGGGCAAGCACUUCUUCUAUCAGUUCUUGCUUUCUGAGAAAGUGCAGUGCAAUGGCUGGAGCUCCACCAGCCAUCUUGCAUCAUGAGAAUCACCUUGAAAAUGGAAAUCACACAUGGUAGAGCAACGAGAUAGAAGGAAAGUGGGUCUCUGAGACCGUGGAGUGCCAUCCCAGCCCUGGACUGACUCCUUCUGGACUUCAAGAACAUGAGGGAGAAAUAAACGAUCUUGUUUAAGCUCCUGCUCUUCGAAGUGCGUCCCAAGGACCAGCAGCACUGGCAUCUCCUGGGAGCUUGUUAGAGAUGUACGAUCUUGUGUGCCACCCCGACCUACUGGAUCAAUAUCUACGGUUUAACUAGAUCCUCAGUGAUUUGUAUGCCUGUUCAAGUUUGAGAAACACUGGUUUAACCCACUGUUGUUGGCUUAACCUAAUUCUGACUGAUUGUGGCUGCAGUGGCCUUGCUGAUGCUGGUGACUGAGAGCCCCUUGUUAUUUCCAGAGUCUAUGGAGGCAGUGGCUUCCAGGAAAGCCAUCCGUGACUCAUGGAGUACUGUUCUCCAAACGGUCCUCAUCCCAAUCUGGCCUUGCAGAGCUCUAUGCAAAGAACAGAGCCACCAGAAGCAGUGGGAGAAAUCAGAACUCCGCAGCCUGUGGGUGCGUCUCUGGAAUUGGCUCACAUAAUUACAGAAGCCAAGAAGUCCCAUGAUCUGCCGUCUACAAGGUGAAGAACCUGGAAAGCCAGUGGUGUCGUUCAGGCCAAGCUGGAAGGCUGAGACCCAGGGGAGCGAUGGUGUAACUGCCCGUCUGCAGCUGAAGGCCUGAGAACCCGGCCGGGGGUGUGGGCUGCUGCUGUAAGUCCAGAGGCCGAUGAGCAGAGAGCCAGGAGCUCUGAUGUCGGAGGGCAGGAGAAGACGGGUGUCCCAGCUCGAGCAGAAAGAGCAAGUCCUCCCUUCCUCGCCUUCUUGUGCUGUUCAGGCCCUCACUGGAUAGAUGAUGCCACCCACUUUGGUGGGGGUGAUCUUUAGUCAGUCUACCAGUUCAAAUGCUAAUCUCUUCUGGAAACAGCCUCAUAGGCACACCCAGAAGCAAUAUUUUAACAGCUAUCAGGGCAUCCCUGGACCUGUCAAGGAGACAUGUGAGAUCAACCAUCACAAGGCGCAACCCGUUUCCUCCCACCAAAUCCACAACCCUCGAUUCUUCGCCCCUCCUCCUGGCCCGGCCCUCUCCCGUCUGACUGGGGUGAGCAGAGGGUGGCGCCUGGCGGGCCCAGGGCUCGACCCCUCCGUUAACACUGGCACUGGGAGUUUGGCCGCAGUUGUGCGCCGCUCUCUUUAACUUGUGGGGUAUAAGCACCUUCUCCCGUUCACGUGUGGAUCCUCACCAAUGCCUGAGCAACAGGAAAAGUCCCCUCCGACAUAGUAGUCACCAAGGUUUGCUGAGCCGCCAAGCAGCAAGCUGCUGCAGAAAGUACCAGGGGUAGUUGUGUAUUAUACCAGGAGAAGCUAACUUUUCUAAAAACUUUCACAAACCCUUUCUCUUUUGCUCUUCCUAAUAGCCUGGUAAGAUCAAGUAUAAGAAGUACCAUUAGUCCUUGGGUAGAGUUAAGCAGUUAAUUAGCUUGUCUGAGCUGGGGUUCCCCCAUCUGUAAUGUCAGGGAUAAGAGAAUCUACCUCACAGGGAUCUUGAGAGAAUUAAAUUUUAAGAGACGUGCAAAGUGCUAGCAUGGAGUUCUCAGAAUGCACCCUGGAGACAGCACCUGGGCAGGGCAGACCUGGGUAAGAGGCUGGACGGAGAAACAGGAGGGCAGGAAGGGAGGCGAGGUGGCAGAGCUUGGGCUCUGAGAUCAGGUGACAGGGACUCAGGUCCCACGCUGUCACUUGUUAGCUGUGUGAUCCUGGGCAAGUCACUUAAAUCCCUUCCUCAUUAGUUUCCACUUCUGCCAAGUGGGCAGAACAGGAGCACUUCCCUCAACCCCGCACCCGCUUCGGUUUACCUGUCAUUCAACGACAGCGCCCUCCACCGGUUGCUCCUGACGCUUCCUGAGAGUCAUCCCUGAAACCUCCUCUUCCUCAUGCGCCACAUCCCAUCUAUCAGCAGGUUUUAUCGAUUCCAUUUCUAAGCAUCUUUCAAACUGAUUGACUUUAGAGCAGGUGGGGUUUACCAAGACAGGGGACCGUUCCGGAGAUGCUGGAACCAAUGCACAGCCUGGGCAGCUAGAUGCAAUCCUCAUCUUCCUUUGGCUGGUUGAUGGAAAUCUGGACUCAGUGGUGGCCCACACUGAAACCCCAGAAAUUCCUUGUAAAACUAGUUUCAAAGAGAAUUUAUUAAGCAUGAAUCUUCCCUAAUUUUAUUCCCCAAGAGGGCACCACUUUCACCAGAACACCUCUGGGAGGGGAGUGCUAGCAUCUUUGGCAAGUGCUGAGAUGGCUGCUCUCUGAAAGCCAGAGAUGCAGGUCAGCGAUGGUGUGGUUUCAAGAUGGAGGAUGCGGAGGGGCAGAGGCCAGGCAACGGCACUUGACCACCAGAGGCACUAGGUGUGGUGACCAUUAGAGAAAGUUGGGCUGGAGUGAUGACAACCUGACCCACAGGGAUCUUGGUUACGGCUCUUUGACUUUAGAGGCCUUAGGACUGAAAUAGUUCAGUCUACUAAGAUCCUCUUGGACCUGGCUUGAGUCAUCAUGAGAGCUGCAGCCUCUUAACCACGUCCCUAGACCACAUCCCUAGAUGUGAUUCAAUUCACAGACCCAGAACCCGAGGAAUGAAUCCAUUAGCCUUAAAGCAGGACUUCGUAGUAAUAUGACUCUUCCUCCUGGCCUGUCACAAAGUGACCUGGGACAUCUGCUGGGUAAUUCUGCAUUGGAGAAAGGACCAUUGAACGUUGGCUCUGAGCUGAAACUGACUCCUGGAAACUCAAAACGCCACUGUGGUCUCCCAGCUGGGGGAUUUUGAGGCUAAGGGGAUAAUUGGAUUUCUGACCCAAAACCACCUCAGUGAAGGCAAUGGGAGCCAGACCACAUCCCAUAUUUCUUUGCCAAGAUUUUGAGUGGAGUGUUUGAUUGGACAUGCUUGGAAAUUGACAGAAUCUCCACACCGACUCCUUGGUUUGUGGAAUAAUGGCUAAUGUAGGGAAGGGCCAAAUGGAAGCCUCUGGAAUUCCACCUCCCAAUCAAAGUGAUUAGCCCGUAAAGUUCCACAUCCUAGGGGAAUGUCAGAUAUUAGUGCCAACAUCGAACAUUUGCAAAACUGCAGCAAUGGUGAUCCCUGUUAUGCUCUUAGAGAGCUUGCCUGCUUAGUUGGUGCAGAAGACAGAUCAAUCUUGGAGAAUAACUACAGAUCUUUGUAAGCUUAUUCAAGUGCUGACUCCAAUUUUAGCUGUUAUCUUAGAUGAAUUGAUAAAUUUACCCAGCCCAAGGUAUCACAGCUGGUAAAUCUUUGCUUUUUUUAAAUCCCUAUGAGCAUAAAGGCAUCAGGAAUUCAAUAGUUAGAUCUCACCUGAAAAGGAUAGCAGUCAUCUUCAUGAUGUGUUCUCCGGGCGACAUCAGUCUUCUGGCUCUGUGGCACAAUUCACCCCCACUGGUCCAUCACCCUACAUGCUAUAAUCCCAGUCUCCUACAUGGCUGACAACAAGCUCACAGGUCAUGGAGAGUAGAAGGUAACAGGUACUUAAACGUUUUUGUAAGACAUCUAUGCGCUACAGGACAGACAAUAAAUCCCCCAAAAUACAGGGACUUGGCCACCUCGCUGACAUUUUGAGAAGCUGGUGUCUGGGACAUAUUGGGAUAUUCCCUCCAAAGUGAAGGAGAAAUCGACUCACUGUGUCCCCUGCUACAAAGAAGGAGGUGUGAUGCUUUGUGAACUGCUUUGGACUUUGGAAGGAACGUGGAAAGAACCAAACAUCACAUUUGGUUGUGCUCUUCUGAUUCAUUUACUGAGUGAGCCACAAGACUCGCAGUUCUGGGCAGGGCUCAGAGCAAGAGGAGGCUCUUCAGCUGGGACAGACUAUAACCGAGGCAGCCCUGCUCUUUGGGCCUUAUAACCCAACAGGGCCAAGGGUACUAAGUUUCUUUAGUAGAUCAUUGAUGGGAAAAUCAGCACAAACACUAACAUUUUGGAGCAAAGCUAAGAUCUCUUCAGCAAGCAAAUAGUCUCCUUUUGACAAGCAGCGCUUGGCAGUAUUCUGGGCCUGGUAGAAAACCAGUACACCUGACCAGAGGAUGUCAGAUGGUCCUGCAACUUGUGCUUUCCCCUGUUAGCAGGGUGUUCUCUGCCCCACCAAACCAUAAAACUGAGCACGGCCUGCAACAUUCCAUCACCACCUCAAAGGGUCAUGGGCUCACACAGUCCUGAAGAUCAGUGGUAUGCCUAGCGUAUUUGGUACCCAGAGUCGGGGGUGUAUUGGUAAAUAUUUAGCAACCAACUCUUUUUGGGGUGAGAGCCCUGGUUUGCACAGUUUGUAUAUUUCCGUGGUGUAGAUGCUACCACUGUGGCUGAUUGCAGGCUACCAACAGGACAUCGCUGAACACAGUCAGAAAAGAUUUCACAACUGGUUCUCAGCAGCCAGUGCAAGCUGGCUCCAGCACGCCACCACCCAGAGUGGGCCAUUUUCCAAAUCCCCUUUCUCUAUGCAGUAAGAUUAUUUUCAGAAAACGAUCAUGAGAUGCAAUGAAUAAUAACUUCAGAAAAAGCACAGACAGCGGAAAUUUUCUUUUAUUGUAAUCAUGCUGGUAAACAUUUUUUAAAUAAAAAAGAAAAUUAAUAUCCAGUAAAAAAGAGGAGAAAAGGAUUGGCCAUAUGGUUUCUGGGCUGGCAUUUAAGGAGCUUAGAAGUCCCCACUCCAUCCUAACGAGUAAAAAGCUGAACGAACUGAAAAGCCAACAGCUUUCUUACAUCUCUCAGAGAAGUGAGGUCACAGGGCAAACGCUGCCCCCCAAAUUGGAGAGACUGACAGGCACACAGAAUGACAGCGUACCUGAGCAGAGACCCGGGAGCUGCAUUUUUUUUUUCCAAAAAAGGGAAAAGAAUUUUACCUAAAUAUUGUUCUGUCCCAGUAAUGAAGAACAUGACAGUUUCUGGUUUCCAGCCUUGGCUUCUGCAAGUGUGUCAGUGACUUCAUCAGAAUUGAACUUGUUUGAAUGCUGCUCUUCAGUGGACCGUACAGCCAGAUUCGACAAUCCAUCUUUGUUCAAUGGUUGAUCAAAGAACGCUUUUUGUUAAUCUUAAUUCCAAAAACUUUCUUACAUGUUAAGUAACAUGAACGAACUGUUCUGUAAAUACAAUUGUGUUGGAACACAGCCACUCACAUUUGUUUACAUCUUAUUUAUGGAGGCUUUUUUUUGCAGCCACAGCAAGCUGGGUAGUUGUCACAGACCAUGUUGUUUACGAGCCUAAAAUACUGAUCAGGCCCUUUAAGAAAAAGUUUGCCAGCCCCGACCUAAAGGAUUAAAAAUAAAAUGUAAUUUGUAUUUAAAGUGUACAAAAUUUGAAUAUAUUUUCAUCAAAAAUCCUAAACUAUG